Molecule: ribosomal RNA, 291 nt
Filed under: uncultured bacterium
Lineage: Bacteria
Description: partial 16S ribosomal RNA
Rfam family: Bacterial small subunit ribosomal RNA
Source: RNAcentral
GGAUUAGAUACCCUGGUAGUCCAUGCAGUAAACGAUGGGUGCUAGUCGUCGGACUUUUGUUCGGUGUCGUAGCUAACGCGUUAAGCACCCCGCCUGGGGAGUACGGUCGCAAGAUUAAAACUCAAAUAAAUUGACGGGGACCCGCACAAGCAGUGGAGCAUGUGGUUUAAUUCGACGCAAAGCGAAGAACCUUACCAGCGUUUGACAUGGGAAGUGCCGGUUACAGAAUGGUAACCUUCAGUUCGGCUGGCUUCCGCACAGGUGCUGCAUGGCUGUCGUCAGCUCGUGCCG